AUAGGGGAUGUUCUUAAGGAGGAGUCGGAGGGGGGGGGGGGGGGGGGGGGGGGGGGGGGGGGGGGGGGGGGGGGGGGGGGGGGGGGGGGGGGGGGGGGGGGGUAUAAAUAUCUCAUUCAUUCAUUCACUUCCUACUCUGAACGCAGUAAGGACCAAAAGGGAGGCAAUGUGGAGAGUCUCAGCGCUCAUCGUGAUUGUUUUCUUUCAGUGCAUCCCGGUAAACUGCACGAGCGAUUCCGCCUCACUUACUAUGGAUAAAAGCAUCAUUGACGAACGCAAAGAUUGUGAGCACAGGAUCUACAGUGAGUCGGAUGAUUAUGUGGGUGAUGCUAAUACGUCAGGGGUCUUGAAUCUUUCAUGCGACUUUCAAAAAAGGACCUGGAAGAUCGACUGUCACAACAAGAAGAGAGAUUUUGAGGCCUGUUUCACGAUUGAACGGGACUCUAAAAUAGUUUAUGAAGACAUGCGCAAGAACAAACAUCUCCUUGUUCUGCCGGUGGUGGUGGCUGCUGUUGUUGUUGGGAUCUACUUUUAUAUCCGCUACAGGAAAAAUUAAAGAUGGCAACAGAAACCCAGCUGCUGAAAACCAACACAGUAAGUACGACCAUCACAAAUGAACCUGAAAUAGAAAAACCUGUAACUGUAGCUGUACACACUCUAAUCCUUCUCUGUUUUUUUUUCUUUUUUUUCAAAGAUUCCCCUAUUUGAUGAUGAAGAACCAGCAGUGGUUCUUCUCUUAUUCCAACUUUUCUGUCUGCCUGGCUACUUUUUUUUAAACUUUAUAAUAUCUUAGGGUAGAUUUAAUGCAAUUUAAAAAAUAGUACAUUUUAAUGUGCUGAGUAACACCUUAAAAAAUAGUUUUUAAAAUGAACAUAAUUUAUGAAUUUAUGAAAUAAUCACAGACAAGAACCUAGCUUUUCGGCGGCUUUAGUCACAAACCAAACCAAUGCUAACACCAAUCUAAGCAAAUAUAUACUACACUACGAUUCUGUAUAUCGACGCUGUCCAAUAAAAACACUUAUCUCCAAAACA
This 1032-nucleotide long non-coding RNA is filed under the name Astyanax mexicanus (Mexican tetra). Its description in RNAcentral is "lncRNA (ENSAMXG00005007159.1)". The record is from RNAcentral. Lineage: Eukaryota; Metazoa; Chordata; Actinopteri; Characiformes; Acestrorhamphidae.